Molecule: ribosomal RNA, 253 nt
Filed under: uncultured bacterium
Lineage: Bacteria
Description: partial 16S ribosomal RNA
Rfam family: Bacterial small subunit ribosomal RNA
Source: RNAcentral
UACGGAGGGUGCAAGCGUUAUCCGGAUUCACUGGGCUUAAAGGGUGCGUAGGUGGGGUGGUAAGUCAGUGGUGAAAUCUCCGGGCUUAACUCGGAAACUGCCGUUGAUACUAUCAUUCUUGAAUAUUGUGGAGGUAAGCGGAAUAUGUCAUGUAGCGGUGAAAUGCUUAGAUAUGACAUAGAACACCGAUAGCGAAGGCAGCUUGCUACACAAUUAUUGACACUGAGGCUCGAAAGCGCGGGGAUCAAACAGG